RNAcentral lists this long non-coding RNA (1018 nucleotides) under Pogona vitticeps (central bearded dragon). RNAcentral describes it as "lncRNA (ENSPVIG00000004739.1)". Lineage: Eukaryota; Metazoa; Chordata; Lepidosauria; Squamata; Agamidae. The record is from RNAcentral.
ACAAUACCACUGCUGCCGCUUAUAUCAACAAGCAGGGCGGCAGCCACUCGCAUUCUCUCCUGUAUCUGACAGUUCAGUUCUGGGAAUGGUGCCUGGAGCAUCACAUUUUUCCAUCUGCAGUCUACAUCUCCACUCACGAGAAUGUCCUGGCAGACCGUCUCAGCAGGACUGCUGUCACGAUGCACGAGUGGACCCUGGAUUGUGAAGUGUUUCUUGUCCUCUGUGCAAAAUGGGGCGAUCCUGCGGUGGAUGUCUUUGCCACUCACCUCAACGCGAAGUGUCCAACCUAUCUGUCCAGGGGUGGCCAGGGACCGGACUCACAGGGCGGUGCACUAAUGGUGUCUUGGAGCAAUCAUUUGCUCUACAUGUUUCCACCGUUUCCACUGUUACUGAGAGUGACUGUCAAAAUUUGCCACGACAACGUGAACGUCAUUCUGAUAGCACCUUUCUGGCCCUGUCAACCGUGGUUUGCGAGGCUCAUGACGAGAGCGAGGGAGUACAUGAGACUCCCUUACCUUCCACAUCUUUUGACCCAGAACGAUGGGGCAACAUAUCAUCCAGAUGUGCAAUCGCUCCACCUCACGGCUUGGAGGAUACUCCCACAGUAACUCACGUCUUAUCCCACUGCUGUAAGACGUCUAUAGACAAUCUUUACAACAGUAAAUGGAUUGCUUUCCAAAAGUUUGCUGCACCUCGUGACUUACCUGUUUCUCCUAUUUCAGUCCAUGCUGUGCUGCAGUUUCUUGCAUACCUGUUUGACAUGAACCUCUCACAUUCUACACUUAAGGUUUACUUGUCGGCCAUUGUGGCACAUCAACCUCCUGACUCAGAGAGUGCGCUGCUCUUUAGACAUACCAAAGUGAAGCAUUUUCUUCCAGGGGCUCUACAUCUUCAUCCCCCAUGAAUCACUCCUAUUCCACAAUGGUCCUUGCAUACCGUGUUUAAUUGCCCUACUUGUCCGCCAUUUGAACCAUUAGCAACUGUUCAUCAACGUUUACUUACAUUCAAAGUGGUGUUU